GGGUGAGUAAUGCAUCGGAACGUACCUUUCAGUGGGGGAUAACGUAGCGAAAGUUACGCUAAUACCGCAUAUUCUGUGAGCAGGAAAGCAGGGGAUCGCAAGACCUUGCGCUGAUGGAGCGGCCGAUGUCAGAUUAGCUAGUUGGUGGGGUAACGGCUCACCAAGGCGACGAUCUGUAGCGGGUCUUAGAGGAUGAUCCGCCACACUGGAACUGAGACACGGUCCAGACUCCUACGGGAGGCAGCAGUGUGGAAUUUUGGACAAUGGGCGCAAGCCUGAUCCAGCCAUGCCGCGUGAGUGAAGAAGGCCUUCGGGUUGUAAAGCUCUUUCGGCCGGGAAAAAAUCGCUUGGGUUAAUACCCUGAGUGGAUGAUGGUACCGGAAUAAGAAGCACCGGCUAACUACGUGCCAGCAGCCGCGGUAAUACGUAGGGUGCGAGCGUUAAUCGGAAUUACUGGGCGUAAAGCGUGCGCAGGCGGUUUUGUAAGACAGGCGUGAAAUCCCCGGGCUCAACCUGGGAACUGCGUUUGUGACUGCAAGGCUAGAGUAUGGCAGAGGGGGGUGGAAUUCCACGUGUAGCAGUGAAAUGCGUAGAGAUGUGGAGGAACACCAAUGGCGAAGGCAGCCCCCUGGGCCAAUACUGACGCUCAUGCACGAAAGCGUGGGGAGCAAACAGGAUUAGAUACCCUGGUAGUCCACGCCCUAAACGAUGUCAACUAGGUGUUGGGUGGGUAAAACCAUUUGGUACCGUAGCUAACGCGUGAAGUUGACCGCCUGGGGAGUACGGCCGCAAGGUUAAAACUCAAAGGAAUUGACGGGGACCCGCACAAGCGGUGGAUGAUGUGGAUUAAUUCGAUGCAACGCGAAAAACCUUACCUACCCUUGACAUGCCAGGAACUCGCCAGAGAUGGCUUGGUGCCCGAAAGGGAGCCUGGACACAGGUGCUGCAUGGCUGUCGUCAGCUCGUGUCGUGAGAUGUUGGGUUAAGUCCCGCAACGAGCGCAACCCUUGUAGUUAAUUGCCAUCAUUUAGUUGGGCACUUUAACGAGACUGCCGGUGACAAACCGGAGGAAGGUGGGGAUGACGUCAAGUCCUCAUGGCCCUUAUGGGUAGGGCUUCACACGUCAUACAAUGGUCGGUACAGAGGGUUGCCAAGCCGCGAGGCGGAGCCAAUCCCAGAAAGCCGAUCGUAGUCCGGAUCGCAGGCUGCAACUCGCCUGCGUGAAGUCGGAAUCGCUAGUAAUCGUGGAUCAGCAUGUCACGGUGAAUACGUUCCCGGGUCUUGUACACACCGCCCGUCACACCAUGGGAGCGGGUUCCGCCAGAAGUAGGUAGCCUAACCGCAAGGAGGGCGCUUACCA
RNAcentral lists this ribosomal RNA (1360 nucleotides) under metagenome. RNAcentral describes it as "bacterial SSU rRNA". It matches the Rfam family "Bacterial small subunit ribosomal RNA", at positions 104 to 1459 of the family's 1533-position model. The record is from RNAcentral.